CAAUAGCGUAUAUUAACGUUGUUGCAGUUAAAAAGCUCGUAGUUGGAUUUCUGGAGGGAGCGUCGGCCCGUAUUUACGAGUGCGUGACGUCUCUGUCCACCCUUGCGGGAAGGCACGGCAUUGAUUUGUUGUGUCGGAUCGCAUCAUUUACUGUGAAAAAAUUAGAGUGUUCAAAGCAGGCUUUCGCUUGAAUACAUUAGCAUGGAAUAAUAAGAUAGGACUUUGGUGCUAUUUUGUUGGUUGAGCCUAAAGUAAUGAUUAAUAGGGAUAGUUGGGGGCACCUGUAUUGCGUUGUCAGAGGUGAAAUUCUUGGAUUUACGCAAGACAAACAGCUGCGAAAGCGUCUGCCAAGGAUGUUUUCAUUAA
This 366-nucleotide ribosomal RNA is filed under the name uncultured eukaryote. RNAcentral describes it as "partial 18S ribosomal RNA". It matches the Rfam family "Eukaryotic small subunit ribosomal RNA", at positions 592 to 976 of the family's 1831-position model. The record is from RNAcentral.